ACCCUUGAGCCUGGCCCUAGCCCUGAAAGAACAAGAUCCAGGUGCUGUACCUGGGGGGUGGUAAUGGGUGCACACACCAGGAAGUAGGCGAGAGAGAGGGAGUAGUGGCGAUGACAGGGACAGGUGUCUAAACGUAUGCCUGAUGAUUCCAGCAGACCUGUCGAGAGCUACUUCAUCCUGUCCGUCUUGGCCAUGAUCUUUUGCUUUCCCUCAGCCUUCCAGCCUUAAUCUUAUCUUACCAGGCAAUGCUCUACAAUCAAUCAAAUGACCAUGAACAGGCAGCUACAACCACCAAAAUAGCUUUCUGCUUGGGCUUCACUGGCCUUAUUUUGGGCCGCUUCAGCUACCCCAUAUUGCUUCUUGUACUAUUAUUAUUAUUAAGGUAACCUUCCAAGCUCAUGAACAAACUACUGAAUAUAAACAACGG
Molecule: long non-coding RNA, 427 nt
Organism: Heterocephalus glaber (naked mole-rat)
Lineage: Eukaryota; Metazoa; Chordata; Mammalia; Rodentia; Bathyergidae
Source: Ensembl